Molecule: ribosomal RNA, 506 nt
Filed under: uncultured bacterium
Lineage: Bacteria
Description: partial 16S ribosomal RNA
Rfam family: Bacterial small subunit ribosomal RNA
Source: RNAcentral
AGUGAACGCUGGCGGUAGGCCUAACACAUGCAAGUCGAACGGCAGCACAGGAGAGCUUGCUCUCGGGGUGGCGAGUGGCGGACGGGUGAGGAAUACAUCGGAAUCUACUCUGUCGUGGGGGAUAACGUAGGGAAACUUACGCUAAUACCGCAUACGACCUACGGGGGAAAGCAGGGGACCUUCGGGCCUUGCGCGAUUGAAUGAGCCGAUGUCGGAUUAGCUAGUUGGCGGGGUAAAGGCCCACCAAGGCGAGGAUCCGUAGCUGGUCUGAGAGGAUGAUCAGCCACACUGGAACUGAGACACGGUCCAGACUCCUACGGGAGGCAGCAGUGGGGAAUAUUGGACAAUGGGCGCAAGCCUGAUCCAGCCAUACCGCGUGGGUGAAGAAGGCCUUCGGGUUGUAAAGCCCUUUUGUUGGGAAAGAAAUCCAGCUGGCUAAUACCCGGUUGGGAUGACGGUACCCAAAGAAUAAGCACCGGCUAACUUCGUGCCAGCCGCCGCGGUAA